Molecule: long non-coding RNA, 1857 nt
Organism: Eptatretus burgeri (inshore hagfish)
Lineage: Eukaryota; Metazoa; Chordata; Myxini; Myxiniformes; Myxinidae
Source: Ensembl
AAUAUCCAAAAGUUUAGUUUAAUGAGGAAUUAAAACUCGGGACUAUUAUCUAACAUCGUACCAAGCAUUAUCGAAAGCGAGGUGGACGCCAUACUUCAGACGGUGUAUAAACCUUGUGUGUUAUCAGCGCUGGUGUACUGCUCUUGUGCCAAAGUUCUCGUCGAGGUGUUUAUCUUUCCUUUAAUGGAUUGAAAUAAAGGUUGAGAAUGUCAAUACGGUUAUUUCUGAUUGACUUGGCUCAUUGCUUUAAUAUAUGUGGAAGUCGACUUGUUCAAGCAGAAGAGUUCAUCAGUCAGUCAGGUUCCAUCGUCGCCGACGAUGGAUAUGACAAAAGAAACCAAGAAAGGGAGGCUGGGAGCACGAGUGCACAAGCAGAGAAUGGCUGCUAAAUUCCCAAUGGUCUCUGAGGUUCAUUUGACACCUGGGUGUAUGGAUUCUCCAACUGUGUGCUGCUAUUGUGGUGAAGAACCACCUGUGGUGAACUGUUUAUCCUGCUUCUGCCUGUGGUGUGAACCAUGCUUUCAAAAGGUUCACAGCCUGUCGGAUAUUUUGAUGAAACAUGACAAAGUCCAUCUGCCAACGAGCAGAAAUCAAAACAAAAUCUCCAUCUUGAACAAUGAAGAUGCUUCGGUGCCUGACUCUCAGAAUCGAAAACUCGACAAAUUUUUGGAGAAUCUGGGAAAAGUAAAAGCUGAUCUGGAGAGGAGUCUUGUAAAAGCGAGGGAGGACGUGACACGAUGCAUGAAGAUGCUUGAUUCUGCACUACAGGCUAGAAAGAAAGAGUUGAAGGACCUUUUGGAAGCAGAAGGUUUGAAAAGGGCUUCAUCACUGGACCUUGAGAGGGAUGAAACCAAGAAAGUUCUAUUUGAUCGUGAGCAAGCUCUGUCCAAGGCCUUCGAGUUGGUGGAUCUGAUUGACAAAAGUGACGAUUCAAUUGGAGCUGAUGCAGUUGAGGUUUUGCGCUGCUUACAGGGCCUUAAUUUUUUGAAUAUCUGCAGCAAUGAAAUGAAGACUUCUGAAAUAAAAUGUUUUUUGGACACAAAAAGCCUUCUUGAAUGCAUCAAGAAAUUUGGUGCAGUUGAGUCACUUAGUUUUGAUGGGUUAAGCAUUUUGGGUGGUGUUGUGGAGGUAGGUUCUCUAUCUCCAUUGGACACCAAGGUCACCAAACCAAACUGCUUGGCCAUUGAGGAGGACCACACUUCACGGAGUGGAAUGCUGGAUGAAGGUCUGGAGAAGGGGGGUGCCCAAUCUUCCUCGGACACAGAUGUCCCCAAACCGAACUGGUUGGCCAUUGAGGGGGAUCACACUUCAGAGAGUAGAAUGCUGGAUGAAGGUCUGGAGAAGGGAGAUGCCCAAGUUUCUUUGGACACAGAUGUCCUCAAAACAAACUGCUUGGCCAUUGAGGAGGAUCACACUUCACAGAGUAGAAUGCUGGAUGAAGGUCUGGAGGAGGGAGACGUGCAAGCUUCCUCGGACACAGAGGUCCCCGAACCAAACUGGUUGGCCAUUGAGGUUGACCCCACUUUACAGAGUGGGUUCCAUGAGUUCUACUGUGAACAGAAUUAGUAGAAAUGAAAAAUGUUAGCUUUCUGGGCUUUUUAUUUAUAUGUGAAUAAGGAAAAGAAUUGCAGAGGAAUGUUUUCUUUUUUAUUUUGUAAGGAGAACAUGUGUAUUGCAGCCUUCCAUAGGUAGAAUUUUCUUACCAAUCUUGGUGUUUUAAAGGCAACCACAACCACCAAGUGUGUUCUCUUUGCAUCACUUUGGUCUGAGAUGUUCCCUUUGGAUCACAUGUGUACAGCAAGUGGUGUGUGUGUAUAUUAUUGCCCUCCUCAAGCUCAUUAGUGAGUCAGCCAGGUU